This is a non-coding RNA of Octopus bimaculoides (California two-spot octopus), 73 nucleotides long. The record is from Rfam. Lineage: Eukaryota; Metazoa; Mollusca; Cephalopoda; Octopoda; Octopodidae.
GGCAGUUUAGUUUAAUGAUAAAACACUUGACACGUAAUCACAGAGAUGUGAGUUCGAGUCUCAUGGCUGGCCA